RNAcentral lists this ribosomal RNA (273 nucleotides) under uncultured bacterium. RNAcentral describes it as "partial 16S ribosomal RNA". It matches the Rfam family "Bacterial small subunit ribosomal RNA", at positions 524 to 796 of the family's 1533-position model. The record is from RNAcentral.
UACAGAGGUGGCAAGCGUUGUUCGGAAUUACUGGGCGUAAAGGGCGCGUAGGCGGUCUUGUCAGUCCCUUGUGAAAUCCCCCGGCUCAACUGGGGAACUGCAAGGGAAACAGCAGGGCUUGAGUUCGGGAGAGGGAAGCGGAAUUCCGGGUGUAGCGGUGAAAUGCGUAGAUAUCCGGAGGAACACCGGUGGCGAAGGCGGCUUCCUGGACCGACACUGACGCUGAGGCGCGAAAGCUAGGGGAGCAAACGGGAUUAGAAACCCCCGUAGUCC